This 430-nucleotide long non-coding RNA is filed under the name Cyanistes caeruleus (blue tit). RNAcentral describes it as "lncRNA (ENSCCEG00000018920.1)". Lineage: Eukaryota; Metazoa; Chordata; Aves; Passeriformes; Paridae. The record is from RNAcentral.
UUUCAACAUCUAGCAUCUAGCAGCCUGGUGGUGAGCUCUGCAUGAAGGGUUUUAGGCUUCCUGAUGAAAAGGUGAAGGAAGGCAUCCUCAAGUCUGACUGACUGCCUUAUGCUUCCUACCAUGAAAGUGAAGGAAGCUGGACCCAGCAUGAGCAGGGCUGGUGAAAGGAUGUCUUGUGACCCUGGCAUGUGUCACACGCUGGGAAGCUGCCACAAAUGGGAAACCCACUGGUGGAUGUCACUGCUCUGGAUGUGAUCCUUCUGCAGCGUCCACAAGUCCACCAGUGCUGUUGGCCAUUGGAGUAUUACCUUCCCUGCGGCUUUGGACACCCUGGAGGGGUUUAUGCUAUCACCUGAUUGCUGGCUGGAUCAACAUCAGUUGCCCCAGGGAUGCUGCUAGCUUGAGGUUUGUGUAGGGAGGGAAAACUGGG